Molecule: ribosomal RNA, 1095 nt
Filed under: Triticum aestivum (bread wheat)
Lineage: Eukaryota; Viridiplantae; Streptophyta; Magnoliopsida; Poales; Poaceae
Description: partial small subunit ribosomal RNA
Source: RNAcentral
AUGCUCACGGAGAUCCUCCUCCGCCUCCCGCCCCAGCCGUCCUCCCUCCCGCGCGCCUCCGCCGUCUGCAAGCGUUGGCGAGACCUCCUCACCGACCCCGGAUUCUUUCGGCGCUUCUGCACGCAUCACCGGUAUCCUCCCCUCCUCGGCGUUUUCCAGUGCCAUGAUCAGCUCGAGUUCACUCCUGUCCCGGCCGCUCCUGAUCGCAUCCCUCCAGCGAGCCUUGACCUGCCAAACCGCGACUUAUGGGUCCGACUGCUGGGGUGCCGCCACGGCCGUAUCCUCAUCUUGAACCGGGUGCACACAGAGGUCCUCGUGUGGGACCCCAUCUUCGGCGGGCAGCACCAUGUGCCGGUUCCGCCAGAGUUCAACUUGGGCUAUAUCAAUGCGGCAGUGCUCUGCGCUGCACGUGACCAGGGCCACGUGCAUGGCAAUUGCUACUCCACACCAUUUAAGGUGAUAUUGCUGCUUAUGCGCCGUAGCGAUGGUCGACCACUCGCCUCUAUUUAUUCCUCUGAGACCGACACAUGGGGCGGUCUCAUCUCAGCAGAGGUUCCGUAUCGACAUUGUUAUGGCACUUGUAUUAGCACCCUUGUUGGUAAUGUCCUUUACUGGUCGUAUCCAUACACAAAGGAGGGUAUACUUGGGUUUGAUUUGGAACAACAGAACUUUGAUGUGCUCGAGGGGCCUUCCGGUAUGUAUCGUUGCCACAACCAUCAGAUCAUCCAGGCAGAUGAUGAAACGGUUGGUCUCGAGAUGCUGUCUGACAAUGAUCAGAAAAUUCAAAUGUGGGAGAGGAAGGUCAAUUGCCAUGGUGUUGCCUCCUGGGUGCAGUGGAAGACCAUUGAAAUGCAUAAAAUUCUAGGGCUCCCUCGCCAGGUUGAAGGAGAGAAGGCAUCAUUGGAAUUUAUACGAGGAUAUGUUGAGGAUACAGACAUGAUAUUUUUAUAUGUGAAAGGCAGUGUCUAUGUGGUUCAGCUUAAGUCGAUGCAAUCUAGGAAGCUUUUUGAAGUCUCCAAUACACGUAUUUACUGUCAUUCUUUCAGGUGUUUCUAUGCUCCAGGUGAUUAUUCAUCCCUAGUCCUCGUAUUGUAG